UGGGGAAUAUUGCACAAUGGAGGGAACUCUGAUGCAGCGACGCCGCGUGAACGAAGAAGGCUUUCGAGUCGUAAAGUUCUUUUAUAUGGGAAGAUAAUGACGGUACCAUAAGAAAAAGCCCCGGCUAACUACGUGCCAGCAGCCGCGGUAAUACGUAGGGGGCUAGCGUUGUCCGGAAUCACUGGGCGUAAAGGGUUCGCAGGCGGAAAUGCAAGUCAGGUGUAAAAGGCAGUAGCUUAACUACUGUAAGCAUUUGAAACUGCAUAUCUUGAGAAGAGUAGAGGUUAGUGGAAUUUUUAGUGUAGCUGUGAAAUGCGUAGAUAUUAAAAAGAAUACCGGUGGCGAAAGCGACUUACUGGGCUCAUUCUGACGCUGAGGAACGAAAGCGUGGGUAGCAAACAGG
RNAcentral lists this ribosomal RNA (403 nucleotides) under Fusobacteriota bacterium. RNAcentral describes it as "Fusobacteria bacterium partial 16S ribosomal RNA". It matches the Rfam family "Bacterial small subunit ribosomal RNA", at positions 355 to 776 of the family's 1533-position model. Lineage: Bacteria; Fusobacteriati; Fusobacteriota. The record is from RNAcentral.